RNAcentral lists this transfer RNA (69 nucleotides) under Bos taurus (domestic cattle). It matches the Rfam family "tRNA". From Rfam's summary of the family: Transfer RNA (tRNA) molecules are approximately 80 nucleotides in length. The record is from Rfam by way of RNAcentral. Lineage: Eukaryota; Metazoa; Chordata; Mammalia; Artiodactyla; Bovidae. RNAcentral also lists the same sequence under 5 other names.
CUUGAUAGCUCAAUUGGUAAAGAAUUUGCCUGCAAUGCAGGAGACCCUGGUUCAAUUCCUGGGUCAAGA